This is a long non-coding RNA of Dermochelys coriacea (leatherback sea turtle), 2645 nucleotides long. RefSeq lists it as uncharacterized. The record is from RefSeq and is a predicted model, not a curated record. The transcript has 5 exons. NCBI's taxonomy places the organism in Eukaryota, Metazoa, Chordata, Testudines, Dermochelyidae.
AAAGAGGAUUGGAGCUUGGAGGGAUGUUGUGAGACUUGGAAAAUCAGAGAACUGAAGUAAGGGGGACCCUGCCCCAGUGGAGGAGGGAGACUCUCUUCCCCACCAUCUAAGGACUGCAGGUACCCCAUCCAAGGGGGAAGAGGAUCUAAAGUCCAACUGGUGUGAAGGGCUUCGGAAUAUGUUUGCUUGGAACUAAACCCCAAUAAACAUCACGUUGCCUGCACUUCAAACUUCUGAUCUUCUGCUUUCUGUCUGCAUGACAAGAACCAGGGGAAAGGGUGAAGAGAAAGUGCUCUAAGACCAGAUAACCUGCAAAGUGAGACCUUUCUAUGCAUGGGGAUGUGGAAUUCGUGGCAUCUAUUAAAGGGUUAGUUUGAAAAUCAGCUCUCAGAAGUUUCAAGAUCCAUUGUCACUCACUAAGAACUCAAAAUGUUCUUCCAGAAUUGGAUGAGAGAUUUGGGUUAAGCUGAGUGGAAAGGUUGUGAAGAGAAUCCCAGCAUAAAUCAUGUCCUUUAAUCAGGAAGCCUAAAGUGUGCCUUGUGCUGUAUAGAUACACAGGAGGAAGCAGUCCCUAAUCUAAAAGGUUUAUAAUCUUAAAAAAAUAAAAGGAAGAAUUUUGAAUUGGAAAAAGGCAUGUCUGCACUGGAUGUGCGAUUCUUGUCUACAGCGACGCACAUACUCUGUUACUUGACCGUGUACGUGCUCUCACACGUUCCCAAUAACUGCACCAUGUGUCCAUAUAAGCUGUGCUGGACAUGGGUAUAAUACUAUGUACACAAGUAUACCCAUGUCCACACUGCUGUUAUGUGAUGUUAGCACUACCAUUUCAAGGGAGGUAUCCCAGGCUGUUUGCAUCACAGGGAGAUAUUCUAGGAAUCGCCUUGAAGUGUGUUGCUGGUACUGUCUCCUGCCUUCAUGAAUUUGCUGAUGGUAGCUCCUGCUCACCUCUCCCUCCUGCCAACCUGGUUGGAAGACAUGAAGCAACUGGAUGAGGAUCUGGUUCUACUCCUGCACCUUAUUGCAAGACACAUGGUUAUGUGCUGGAGUAGGCAAUCGGCAAGAUGCUGGAUAGAAUCUGCGCAGAACUUUCUGACAUGGUGAUGGCUGACCAUAAUGGUGAAUUACAAUCCAUUUGUGUCCCAUGGAACAGAUAUGGUGAAUGCUUGCAUUGCCAUUGUAUGAGCAUGGGUGGAUCAUCACUUCUGGCACAGGAGUCGCACACAGUGUGGCAGGAUCACAUCAUUUUAGAAACCUGGGAUGAUCGACAGUGGCUUCAGAACUUCCAAAUGAGGAUAUAGUCCUUCAUGGAGUGGUGUGAGGAGCUUGCACCAGAACACUUGAUUCAGGGAAGCCAUACUAGUGCAGAAAUAGGUGACUAUUGCCUUGUGGAAGCUGGCAACACCAGACAACUGUUUCAGUUGCACACCACUUGGGGGUUGGAAAGUCCACUGUUGUGGGAUCAUAGCUGUGCAGGUUUGCAUGGUAAUUAACACUGAUCUACCCAUGGGUGGCUGUCAUAAACAGAGUUCCAGAAAUAAUAGUUGGGUAUCGGAGGAUGAGAUUUCUGAAUCAUGCAGGGCAGGGGCCACCUGUGGGACCAAUAUCCCAAUACUUUGGGAUACACCAGAUAGGUCAAGUGAGUAUGUGAACUGGAAAGAUUAUUAUUCACUCACUCUGCAAGGCAUAGUGGACUACAGAUGAUUCAUGAAUACCAAUGUGUGAAAUACUGGAAAUGUUUGACACCUAGGUGCUGAGGACAUCAACAUUGUACUUGAGGAGCGGAGACUUUUUUUUCUGCAGAAAUUAUAAUUCUCUCUAGUUGGUCAGUGUCCACAGUUAUUUUGAAGCUGAUAAAACCACACCCUGAUGACAUCAUCCUGGAAAAGGAAAUUCAGUUAUGAACUCUAGCUUCAGAAUGGUCAUGGAAUAUGCAUUAGGUAGAAGGAGAAAGAAGGUGGUGGUGGUGCUGGUUGACAGUUCAGUGGCCAUGGUACAAGGAAGGUUCUUAAUUCAUUUAGUCACCACUACUAUGAACUGCCCUUUCUGCAAUCUGCAUAACUCCUGAACCAUUGCUAUCUGCAUGCUGGCCAAGAAAUGGACAGAUAGGUGCACAAUGCUUGUUUAAUCUGUUUUAAUCUUCUGCCAAUUGCAUAAUAGUGGUUAAAGGAAAAUUAAUAAAAUCAUUGAUUUAUAGCUUUGUCUGGCUCAGGGACCAUUUCAGGAUGGGGUGGAGUGGGGACAGGGCUUAAAUUUAGGAAUGUAGCACCAGAGCAAGAAGGGAUUGGCAGGGAGAGUGGAGGUUCAUUAUAAUUUACCAGUCUUGGGCUCUAGUUACUGCUGAGGCUCACGGUCCUCAGGCUCAUCGGUGGGAGGGGCUUCCACAACUGCCUCCUCCAGGUACAGAUGCAAAAUCACAUGAUCCUCUUCCACCAGGUGCAUCCUCUGUGGUCCCUGCUGCCAGCUCAUCCUGGUUCACGGAAACUAGGUACAUCUACACUAGUGCCUGUACAUGAAGAGUCACUCAUAGCUCAGUCAAUGAGAAACGGAAUUAAUACAAUAUGACCAAGGUGUAGGAUCAAAACAACACAUUUCAUAUUUCAAACAAUCACAGGGAAUUGCUAUAAACCAUCUAUCACUGAAAUUUG